AUGGCGCGGGAGGAGCUGUCGACGGAGAUCGUGAACCGCGGCGUGGAGCCGUCGGGCCCGGACGCCGGGUCGCCGACCUUCUCGGUGCGCGUGCGCCGCCGGCUGCCCGACUUUUUGCAGUCGGUGAACCUCAAGUACGUGCGGCUCGGGUACCACUACCUGCUGAGCCACGGCGUGUACCUGGCCACCAUCCCGGUGAUCGUGCUGGUGUGCGGCGCCGAGGUGGGCAGCCUCAGCCGCGACGAGCUGUGGCGCAAGGUGUGGGACGAGGCCACCUACGACCUCGCCACCGUGCUCGCCUUCCUCGCCGUCCUCGCCUUCACCAUCUCCGUCUACAUCAUGUCCCGCCCCAGGCCCAUCUACCUCAUCGACUUCGCCACCUACAAGCCCGCCGACGAACUCAAGGUGUCCAAGGCGGAGUUCAUCGACCUGGCGCGCAAGUCGGGCAAGUUUGACGAGGAGAGCCUGGCAUUCCAGGCGCGGCUGCUGGCCAAGUCCGGCAUCGGGGACGAGUCCUACAUGCCGCGCUGCGUCUUCCAGCCCGACGCCAACUGCGCCACCAUGAAGGAGGGCCGCGCCGAGGCCUCCGCCGCCAUGUUCGCCGCGCUCGACGAGCUCUUCGACAAGUGCCGCGUCCGCCCCAAGGACGUCGGCGUCCUCGUCGUCAACUGCAGCCUCUUCAACCCCACCCCCUCCCUCUCCGCCAUGAUCGUCAACCACUACAAGAUGCGCGGCAACAUCCUCAGCUACAACCUGGGGGGCAUGGGCUGCAGCGCGGGGGUCAUCUCCAUCGACCUCGCCCGCGACAUGCUCCAGGCCAGCGGCGCCGGGCUCGCCGUCGUGGUGAGCACCGAGGCCGUGUCGUUCACCUGGUACGCCGGGAAGCGCCGCUCCAUGCUCAUCCCCAACGCCUUCUUCCGCGCGGGCGCGGCCGCCGUGCUGCUGUCCAACCGCCGCAGGGACUUCCGCCGCGCCAAGUACCAGCUGGAGCACGUGGUGCGCACGCACAAGGGCGCCGACGACCGCGCCUUCCGCUCCGUGUACCAGGAGGAGGACGAGCAGCGGAUCAAGGGCCUGUCCAUCAGCCGCGACCUGGUGGAGGUCGGCGGCCACGCGCUCAAGACCAACAUCACCACCCUCGGCCCGCUGGUGCUCCCCUUCUCGGAGCAGCUGCUCUUCUUCGCCGGCGUGCUGUUCCGCCACCUCUACCCGUCCAAGACGUCCACCCCGCCGCCGCCGGCCGCCAACGGGGACACCUCGGCCGCCGCGCCCUACAUCCCGGACUUCAAGCGCGCGUUCGAGCACUUCUGCAUGCACGCCGCCAGCCGCGACGUGCUGGAGCACCUGCAGCGCAACCUGGGCCUCCGCGACGCCGACCUGGAGGCCUCCCGCGCCGCGCUGCACCGCUUCGGCAACACCUCCAGCAGCAGCAUCUGGUACGAGCUGGCCUACCUGGAGGCCAAGGGCCGCGUCCGCCGCGGUGACCGCGUGUGGCAGCUCGCCUUCGGCUCCGGCUUCAAGUGCAACAGCGCCGUGUGGCGCGCCGUCCGCCGCGUGCGCCGCCCGUCCAGGAGCCCGUGGCUGGACUGCGUCGACCAGUACCCGGCGCGCAUGGACGCCUGA
This 1623-nucleotide ribosomal RNA is filed under the name Triticum aestivum (bread wheat). RNAcentral's name for it is "partial small subunit ribosomal RNA". Lineage: Eukaryota; Viridiplantae; Streptophyta; Magnoliopsida; Poales; Poaceae. The record is from RNAcentral.